RNAcentral lists this long non-coding RNA (1461 nucleotides) under Heterocephalus glaber (naked mole-rat). RNAcentral's name for it is "lncRNA (ENSHGLG00100038431.1)". Lineage: Eukaryota; Metazoa; Chordata; Mammalia; Rodentia; Bathyergidae. The record is from RNAcentral.
AGAGCUUGGAGAAUAGCUUUCACAGAAACAUACUUUUCUGGACAGUUAUUUAGAUGAAACUUGUUCUCGGGGGUGCGGAGGGGACCAAAAAACCUUGGCUUUGCAAAUACUUGUUUCCUGUGUGCCAGACUUGGCUACUUCCUGUUUAUAAAAUGUAAUUGCUAGUAAUUGGAAUAAAAAACGAGUAGAAACAUUUAGCUCUGCUCAGUCACCUGCUUAACUUCCUUUUCUUUAUUACAAUCAGUUUUGCAUUUCUAAAGUUUAAAUGUCCUUUUUAUCACUUGGUAAUUAUUUUUAAACGAUCAGAAGAUAACCAUGGAAAGAUUCAAUGAGAUCGAAAGCAGGAUCCCUGGGGAAGAUAUAGAUGCAGAAGCUCUGUUCUUCGAACCCCAAAUAACCAGACACAUGGCAACCAAAGGUAUUUUUCCCUAACUUUUUAAAAUUUCACUUUUAUAGAAUUCUUCCAGACAAGAGAAAGUAAAUCAUAGGAACUGUCAACGUAAUACAAAACUUUUAAAAAAACACAUUUGAGAAGAAUGUGAGUCGUAACUGCUUUGACGCCGGCGCUAGGGAGCCCAAAGAGCCCACCCAGGACGCCGCGGCGCGCAAUCCAGUGCUCAGGGGCCGCAGGCGCCGCCAUGCCGGAAGGGGGCGGCCUUGGGCCCGGCACGGCUCAGCAACCUGGAGCUAAAGCCGCGCUCGACACGAGGGCCUCGGCCGGAGGUGACAGAGUCCACGUCUGCACCACCUUCUGGGAGCCGGGCGCGGAAACAAGUCGCCGAGCGGACCGAAAGGGUGGCAAUGGAAACCAAACGCCUUUCAUCCCCUAGAGACAAAGAGGUGCCUUCUUCUGACAACAGCUGCCAGUGUCACACAAGCCAUACGGCGGUGCGGCGCGGGAGGUCGCCAUGGCGACGGCCGGUGGCUGAAAGGACCUAUUGUUCGCCAGGCCGUCGGACCGCGCCUGUGCGGAGCCGCCUCCCAACCCUCGGGGCCGUGCUCUGGCCAGGGCCACAGAUGGCAGCGUCACCUUCGCGCAGCACGCUCCAUGGACGAACAGCCGCCGUCCGCGCUCGGCCCGGCGGAAGUCAGCGCCGAGACGUGCGUGCGCCGACGCGACGUGCACCCACGCUCCUGCGGCUGCGCGCGCGCGACUUCUGCUGGGGUCCGGGCGUGCGUGGGCGCCCAAGUCGCUGUGCUGGGAGUAAAACAGAGAGUCACUGUAUGAAGAAGACGGCGUUGAAAGGCAGCUUUGCCAUUCUGCUUGUUAGAGCCAGCAGAUUGUAAACAACCCGAAAGUCGGUGUUUGGGGCCGAUUAAAUGCUACUGGUCCACCCUUCAGUUGUAUCCUUAGUUGCCUUCUAGGAAUUCGUAUAAUUCCUCUGAGUGCUCUGCUCUCAGAAAUAUGGGCAUUUUUCUUACAUUCUAAAUAAGUAAAGUGUAGAAGAGUUGAACAACGUG